UACAGAGGUCUCAACCGUUGUUCGGAUUCAUUGGGCGUAAAGGGUGCGUAGGCGGUCGCGUAAGUCAGGUGUGAAAUCUCAGGGCUCAACCCUGAAACUGCACUUGAUACUGCGUGGCUCGGGUACUGGAGAGGAGACUGGAAUUUACGGUGUAGCAGUGAAAUGCGUAGAUAUCGUAAGGAAGACCAGUGGCGAAGGCGGGUCUCUGGGCCGAUACUGACGCUGAGGAGCGAAAGCGUGGGGAGCGAACAGG
RNAcentral lists this ribosomal RNA (253 nucleotides) under uncultured bacterium. RNAcentral's name for it is "partial 16S ribosomal RNA". It matches the Rfam family "Bacterial small subunit ribosomal RNA", at positions 524 to 776 of the family's 1533-position model. The record is from RNAcentral.